UAGUUUUUUGGAAUGUUUAGCUGUGGAGACUAUAAAAAAAAAAAAAAAAAAGAUUUAAAACUAUUCAGGCUUGUUGGUCAUUUUGUAGUGUAGAUGAAGAAAAAGAAUAAAAUACACCUGCAUCUUUUUUUAUGAGAUUACAGGCUGCUUUAAAAAAAAAAAAAAAAAUAUAUAUCAUCUGCUCAUCAAAUGUAUAAGACUGUAAAACAGUACAGGCUUCUGUUUGUUUGUUUGUUUAAAUACGAUUUAGUAUUGUUGUUUCCAGCACAAGAUGGCGGACUGAGCUAAACCGGAAGUUGACCAGCCACAGUGUUUGAGGAUAGAUGGCAUCUCCAUGCAACACCCUCUUCAAAUAAAACCAUUAGCACCCGACCUAUAAACUAUGAUCAGCUCAGCAAUCAGAUACUCAGCCGUCAAGCUUCUGAGCUCUCUCUUGCGCGGCGGACCCAGGCGAUGGGGGAACACCACGGACGUGUCGACCACCGUGCUGUGGAUAAGCUUUUUUUUUUUUUUUUUUUUUUGAAAAAGGCAAUAAAAGAAUUACACAGUUGUUGUGAUACGGUGUUUUCUCCCUUCUCUUACUUUUGUAGGCUAGAGAGCAGUGGUUUGAAUAAGUAUCCACCACCAAGACCAACUCCUCUCUUCCCCUCCCCCUUUUUUUGGUAAGGUUUGGUUACAAAAAUAUCCCAAACGUGAAUAUCAUUAAAUCCACCAAAGGUCAGAGAAGCAAGUUCAUGGGGUGUGAAUACUUAUGCAAGACACCGUACACACAGUAAUGGAUUUGAUUUCACUGUUACCAGAUGCACUAUGUCCAGAUAUUUCAUCCAAACUCCAAGUUGCUUAUGUUCCUGAUGUUUAUAAAGAAGUGUUUUGGAAGCCAGUUCUUUUCUGGUCUGCUCAAAUGAACAAGAAAUAAACCACAUGAGCAUAAAAAAACAACAACUCACUUUCAGA
Long non-coding RNA from Pangasianodon hypophthalmus (striped catfish), 954 nucleotides. RefSeq lists it as uncharacterized. The transcript has 3 exons. The record is from RefSeq and is a predicted model, not a curated record. Lineage: Eukaryota; Metazoa; Chordata; Actinopteri; Siluriformes; Pangasiidae.